RNAcentral lists this ribosomal RNA (449 nucleotides) under uncultured bacterium. RNAcentral describes it as "bacterial SSU rRNA". It matches the Rfam family "Bacterial small subunit ribosomal RNA", at positions 329 to 792 of the family's 1533-position model. The record is from RNAcentral.
UUCCAGACUCCUACGGGAGGCAGCAGUGGGGAAUAUUGCACAAUGGGCGAAAGCCUGAUGCAGCAACGCCGCGUGAAGGAAGACGGUUUUCGGAUUGUAAACUUCUAUCAAUAGGGAAGAAAGAAAUGACGGUACCUAAAUAAGAAGCCCCGGCUAACUACGUGCCAGCAGCCGCGGUAAUACGUAGGGGGCAAGCGUUAUCCGGAAUUACUGGGUGUAAAGGGAGAGUAGGUGGCAAGGUAAGCGAUAUGUGAAAGCCUUAAGCUUAACUUAAGGAUUGCAUAACGAACUAUCUAGCUAGAGUACAGGAGAGGAAAGCGGAAUUCCUAGUGUAGCGGUGAAAUGCGUAGAUAUUACGCAGAACUCCGAUUGCGAAGGCAGCAUACCGGCGCCCAACUGACGCUGAAGCACGAAAGCGUGGGUAUCGAACAGGAUUAGAUACCCGAGUA